This 102-nucleotide microRNA precursor is filed under the name Marmota monax (woodchuck). Lineage: Eukaryota; Metazoa; Chordata; Mammalia; Rodentia; Sciuridae. The record is from RNAcentral.
AGUGGGAUAGCUGGGUCAAAUGGCAAUUCCAUUUCAAGUUUUCUGAGGAAUCUCUAUACUGCUUUCCAGAGUGGUUGCACACUUUGUAGUCCCACCAGCAAU